GUAGGUGGCAAGCGUUGUCCGGAAUUAUUGGGCGUAAAGCGCGCGCAGGCGGUUCUUUAAGUCUGAUGUGAAAGCCCACGGCUCAACCGUGGAGGGUCAUUGGAAACUGGAGAACUUGAGUACAGAAGAGGAAAGCGGAAUUCCACGUGUAGCGGUGAAAUGCGUAGAGAUGUGGAGGAACACCAGUGGCGAAGGCGGCUUUCUGGUCUGUAACUGACGCUGAGGCGCGAAAGCGUGGGGAGCAAACAGGGAUUAGAUACCCUGGUAGUCCACGCCGUAAACGAUGAGUGCUAAGUGUUAGGGGUUUCCGCCCCCUUAGUGCUGCAGCUAACGCAUUAAGCACUCCGCCUGGGGAUACGGCCGCAAGGCUG
RNAcentral lists this ribosomal RNA (371 nucleotides) under uncultured organism. RNAcentral's name for it is "partial 16S ribosomal RNA". It matches the Rfam family "Bacterial small subunit ribosomal RNA", at positions 527 to 896 of the family's 1533-position model. The record is from RNAcentral.